GCACUCACUUUGGCAGCACAUUUACUAAAAUCAGAGUGAUUCAAAGAAAAUUAUCAUGGGCCCUAUGCAAAGAUGAUGUACAAAUUUGUCAAACAUUUUAUAUUUUU
This is a small nuclear RNA of Cervus hanglu yarkandensis (Yarkand deer), 107 nucleotides long. The record is from Ensembl. Lineage: Eukaryota; Metazoa; Chordata; Mammalia; Artiodactyla; Cervidae.